UUGAACAUAGCGAAAUCAAUAUGGCGCAUGUUGAUAUGACAAAUUGACAGCAUUGUUUUGUCUUUGUAAUAAGUUGUAAUGUUUCUUUUACUUGUCCAAUUAAAGAACAAUAAAAUUUAAUAAUGACGAGACCGUUCGGUAAUAGUGACAAACGAUUUUCAAUCGACGACGCCUUCGAGGAGGAGACGGACGAAGCUAUAAAAGUGUAUGGCGCUACGGGCGACAGAUCGCCGUUGCAGAAUAAUAAAUAUAAGAAUGGAAGUGAAUAUUUGUCCAGUAAUAAAACAUACAAAUGCACAGACGACACGACCUCCCGAGACUCUGACUCUCUAAUCCACGAGUAUGUAGAGGCCACACAAGCAACGUACUGCUGGAACCAUCCCAAAGUCAGAGAGAACUGGAAGACAGUAUGCGCAGCUGUCAUUCUGUUGGUUGUUGGCGUGGGUUUACUGGGGAUGGGAGCCUUUGCUGUUGCGGAGCCAGAGAAUGGACUGCAGGGGGCGGUUUUCUUUGUAGCAGGUAUGAUCUGCUUCGUCCCCGGCGCCUACCACGUGGUGUACAUCUGGUUAGCAGCGCGCGGGCAACGAGGCUACGACUUCUACCAUCUGCCGCUCUUCACCUGAUCGCCUUGAGUAAGCCUUCGAAUUCAUCACACUUUGUUAGGUAGGACCGGUCAGCUGCUAAUUUAAUGUGUUCAAUAUUAUACAGUCGUGUUUUUAAUUAGCUAGAGUAAAUAGAGCGUUUAGAAAAAUUGACAUAUAAAUGAUAAUAAAAAACAGAUAACCCUUUGAACGCUACACCUGCGUGCGCGGCGCGUCAUCGUGAAUCUUGUUGUAUGCAGGAAAAUUGAUAUUGCGCUGUACCCGCGUGCGUUAGUCGUCGUCUUUGGCGGUAAUAGGGAUGACGUGUGUGGUGGUCAAAAAUUGCGGGUUCAAACCUCGGUUGUGUUGUAUAGAGCAGAAAAAAUCGUUCUCGAUAAAAAUGCAAAAAAGACUCGAAAUUCGACCAGAAUUUUUAUCAUACAAAAUACAAGAGGUUUUAUUUUCACGCCCGCGCCCAGAAACGUCAAUUUACUCUAAUGAGGUAAUUAAAAAUGUCAUUGAUCUCCUAACCAUAAAAUUUAAUUUUGAGCACUUACUACAUUUGUUACUGACUGUCCUAUCAUGUAGGAACUUUGGAAUAAUGACUGGUACCAUAUAGGGAACAUUCCUAUUAUGGGAAUAUUCCUGUAAAUGGCAUAUCAGUAUUUGCUAUAAGUGUCAUCCGCAGUUAGUGGUGCUUUGUCACUUCAUUUUGAAAAAUGAGAAAAUUAUUUGGUUUUAUCUUCUCUUAAGUUCUCUUAAUUGUCUCUUUAAGAGGAAACCCUUUAAGAGAAAAUAGAAUAUCUUCUUAAUACCUACUUAUUGUUUUAGGACUAUAAAUUGAUCUAUAACUGAAUUUAACUCAGUUCAUAUCAGUGUUUUUAAAAAUGUAAGCAAUUAAAACUAUGUGACUUUGUCAUUCUGCCGUUGAAAUAAUACCAAUGUUACAAAUCACUAUUGUUUCUAUUAAUCUUAGAAUCCUUUCAUAUCAAUGGUAUUAUGUCAUAGGCUAAAUAAGUCACUCAGUUAUGUUUGUCUGUAAACAUCAAUAUAACAUAAAAGAAAUGGAGCAUAAUUUUAUUAAAUUAAUAUUUCAUAAAGUUAUAUCGAAGAUCCUCCUAAUAGGAGGAAUAAAAGAUAAUGACGAAUAUUAAUUUAGUACAACUUAAAUUGAUGUAUCGACAUUAUGUAACGAAAAUUUGUCAUAUAUUUAUACUACACGUUACUUCGUUACACAAAGGAUAAAUUAAAUUGUAGAUAAGUGCUUACUGUUUAACUGUGUUCUUAAUCACCCAUAAUAAUUUCCAGGUUGAUAUUUUAUUUCAAUUCGUCGUUCUGUCAUUAAGGAUACAAAUAUGAUCAGUUUCUUACGGAAAGAUCAGAAAUAUAUAUUUGGGGACAAUCUUACACAGAAUUGUACUAAUUUUUUUUACCUUUUUUAAAAUUUUCAAAGGGGCUAUCAGGAAUGCCUACCAUUGUUCUAUGUAAAGGAAUGACGAUGACGAUCUGAUGAUUAAGAAUUUGAUUAAUUUAUAUUCUUCGAAUAACUAAUUACGCAUAAUUUAUAUUAAGUUAUGUUAUUUAAAGUAUUGAAACUGGAUAAUAAUGUAAACUUCGUAAGUAGUAAACAGGAGGGGGCAUAGAUAAAGUUAGAGAAAAACAUAUAAUAUACAUCUACCAUUAUUUUCAUGGAAUUAAAAUAAAAUAUUAAGGCAAAGAGUCAAAGGUUCCUCUUUGUUACUUGACUUACAUUGAGGUUUGUUCUCUAUGUAUUAGUGCGUUUCAGUAAUGAUUGCAGUCUAUAUUUUUCAUGAUAUUGAUUUUAAAUUGCAAAAAGAUACAAUGUAGAAUGUUCCUCCCCUUUGAGGUAUUUUUGUUGUCAAAUUUCAUUACAUAAAUUCGAUGACGUCGCAAUUCAAUCAAUCAAUCAUUCAAUCAAUUAAUUUAUUUUGCUGUAAUACACAGUGUGUUUUGUGUGUUACAGCAAAAUAAAUUAAUUGAUUGAAUUAUAUAAAGCUAUACAAUAUAGCUAUACAUACAGGGAUAAUUUAAAAUAACCGUUUGAAAUAGAAGCGAUGGUUCGAAUUUCUCUGAUAUUUUUAAGAAUUAAGAUAACUUGGUCCUGUUUAUGAUAUUUUAUUCUGAUCUCAAUAUAAUGAAAUACAUAAAUGUUUUAAAUUAUCUCCUUCAAUAGAUUUACAAUUAUUAAGUAAAGAAAAUAUAAAAAUAAACAACUGCAUCCAUCUCCAAAAUAUUUAGUUAGUUUAAGAGUUGCAACAUUUUUUUACGUGUUAAGAACUUAAUUUGUCUAAAAUUAAUUUCACUGUGUUACGAAAAUUGGUCAUACAUUUAACCGACUACGACGAAGUUAAAAGAUUAUUAUAUUAAAAACAUUAAUUUUAAUUCAAAUUAUUAUGAAUACACGGUACAAUAUUAGGUACGCUAGGCUUAGGUUUUGGGCGUUACGGAUUAAUUUAAAGAUAUGCAAAACAGUUCGAAAAACAAAGUUCUUACACUGGCACAUAACUUAAUGAGUACCUAGUGUUGUAUGGAUGAAUUUAAAAAAAUUACACAGUUAAGCAAUUUAAUUGCUUAAUUCGUGUAAAAACAAAUUUUAUGACUAAUGAUCGUUACACAAUGGAAUUAAUUACAAACUGAUUAAUGCCUUAAAAUGUGCAAAAAAAUGAAAUUAUAUUAUUAUUAAUAGAAAGAAUUGGGGUUGUAUAACUGUCUAGUCUACUUUUUUUAUCCAUUAAAUCUCACUUAAUCCAUUAAUUUGCCAUGCGUUAGAAAUUUAUAUCACUAUACUCGUAUGUCUUAGACCCGUAGGAGACACAUUUUAUAAGUUUAUAUUCAUAUGGCACCAAAUUGAAGAUUAAAAAUGUGUUACCUUUACCUGAUAGCCCGGCAGGUGUAAUAAUGUGUAUAAAUUUCGUCAGUGUUUUGUGUUGUGUAUUUUUUAUGUGAUAAUUUGUAUUUUAUAAAUAAAUCUGUCCGACUAAUAUGUAUAAAGUCUACUAUUAUAAAUGUAUGUAUUUAGUAAUCACAUGUAAAUAUAUCAUUAAUUUAUUCAAAUUACUCUUAAAUUAAGAUAAACUGGAUUACUUAAUGCUUAUUGUAAUAAAGAAAAUGUUAAUCACGCAAAAUAUGCAGUUUAAAAAAAAAAAAUUUAAACGGCCAAAAAAUGUCAUAAUAAAAAAAAGAGUGUAAAUUAUGAUCCUAGUUGGUCGAAAUAAAAAUGAUUUAAUUUACAAUAUAAGGAUGACUGGUGUUAACUGGAAGAGUCUUUAAUAUCAGUUUCGAUAAUCUCAAAUAAUUUUAUUAUUUAUCUAAAUACAUCCUUGCUUAAUAUUAUAGUUAGGUACAGAUCUUAAUUUUGACCAUAUAUUUCAUAGCAUCUUGGCCGUUCACCCAUACAUGUUUACAUUUCAAUUAGUCAUUUCCAUGAUGUAACGAAACCUACCCAUUUAUUCAUAUGGCUGAUUUUCGUACACAAAUAAUGAAAAAACUAUUUAUGGGGCCUGUAGACUGGCCAUAUUUUCACUGCAAUAUGUGGCCAGCAACUAUUGGUGUCUUCCUCUAACAUGUGAGUAAGAGGGGGACACCAAUAGUUGCCGGCCACAUAUUGCAGUGAAAAUAAAAUGUGGCCCAUCUAGGCCCCUUUAGGGUCGUACAGACGAGGAAAAAUAAAAGUUCUCUUCCUUUUUUUUAAGUUAAAGAUCCUGGAGUUAAACCAAGAAAAGUCUGCAACGAUUUUGAUAGCACACGCAGUGCAAAGUGCAAGUGUUAUUUUAAACGUCAAACUUCUAUGAAAUUAUGACGUAUAAAUAACACGUUCGUUCGUAACAGUUCGUUGCAGACUUCACUUAGUCUGACUCUAAUUAAUUCUUACUUAUGAAAAAUUAGCCUCAUGCAUGAAGUUUAUAUUUUAACCGAAAUAUGUUUUAUUCGGAUGUUUGUUACCAUUAUAUCAUGUUACAAAUGCAUUUCCGUUUUUAAAUUACCAUUUAAUUACUUAAAAUUAUAAAUAAAAAGUACAAAAAUUUGCCCGCGAAAAGCUAGUGAGCGAAACGCUCGAAACGCCACGUGACGUCACGCGUUCGACAGAUUAGUGUCAUUAGUAGCAAACGUCAGUUGGGCCGCCCAACGUGUGACGUCAUCACGCUCUGUCGAAUUCGCGCCAAAAAUUAUGAGCGUUUCAACCGCAAAAAUUUUCAAUAUUUUAAAUAUUUUUUAAUAAAAUAAUGUUAAGGUUUACAAAAGUAUUUUUAUCAUUUCCGGUGUUCCAACGAUAUAAAUUAUGAAUCCAAAAAUAAAAAUAAAUUCAUGCAUGGAGCUAAUUGCCCCAGAUAGCGACGACUUUUUGAGUUGCUUAACUUCAAACUCUGAUAACUCCAUCUGUCAGUUCAGAUUAUACUAUUUUGGUAUUAAGAAAAGGUAAUAGGGUAGAUGAUAUAUUUGCUGAUAGGGGCGAGUGGAUUUAUCAGAGUUUGAAGUUGUGACACUUUUGACAACAUCGUUUCUCCCGUCUUAAAAUCGUAUACCAUCCUUAAUUUUCAAAAAUAGCCAGAACCUAAAUAUCUGCAUGACCCUUCACUGCCUUUCCAUUGAGGCGGAGAUGGCCUCCCAUUCAACGUUGUAAGGGCUCCUCUACACGAUGGCCCAGCUUAGGCCAGUCCAAAGGACGCAGCUAUCUCAUAGCAUUAUCACUUGCUCCCUCUAACGGCGAAGUGGAGAAGAGAUGUGGAAGUGGAUUACAACCAAUCUCUGCCUCAGUAGAAAAUACCUAAAUGCAUUUUACUAACAUCUUGAUCUAUGGAUUAUGUUAGUCCGAAAUAAACAAUUUUUUUUUACCAUAUUUAUAAAACAGAAUUUACUUGAAUGUAUGAUGUUGACUCUAAAAAGUCCAUCCAAAAGAUCAAUCUUCAUUAUGUUUAAUCUACUUUGAGGAGGCAAUUGUUUAAAGUAAUUAAGUUAAGUAAUGUUAUAGACUAUUCAAAGUGCCUAGACAUAUGUUUGAGAUCUAAAAGCAUCAUUUACAUCCUUUCCUCAUUAGUAUAAAAGCAAUAAAAAAUGUUUUAGCUGAA
Molecule: RNA transcript, 5668 nt
Organism: Cydia strobilella
Lineage: Eukaryota; Metazoa; Arthropoda; Insecta; Lepidoptera; Tortricidae
Gene name: transmembrane protein 134
Exons: 4
Source: RefSeq, a predicted model, not a curated record